AGGGACAAUGAUGCCAUUUGCUUCUAGCACUCCUGCCCUCAUCCCCUGAGGCCCCUCCCCUCCUCCCAGUGGAGAGUUCUGGACAGGAAUAGGCCUGAGCUUUUAGGACGGCAGGUGUUCUUAAAGAUGAAUAAUGCUCCGCCCCCCAUGCUGGGUCUUCUGGGGAUGAGCCACAGCCUGGAGGAGCUGAGGAGGCCACAUCACAUGAGGAAGCUUUACUGUUUCCCCUUCUCCUGAAAUGUGUCUGGGAUGGAGAGUGUGGAGAGUGGGCCCACCUUUAUCUGGGUCCACUCAGGCUGCUGCAGAGACUACCCCAGACUGGGUGGCUGAUAGACAAGACAUUCAUUUUCCACACUUCCUGAGACUGAGAAGUCUGAGAUGAAGGAUCUUGGAGGACCUGGGGAUCAACAGCCAGACUUGGAUGCUCAGGAUGAUUUGGGAUGUGCUUCUAACUACCUGUACUGUCUGGAGAAACCUAGAAGCAAGGAAGCUGCCACCAUGAUGCAGCGGGGAGUCCGAGGCCCUGGGAGGUCAUAUGACUCAUUCAAGGUCAUCCUGCUGUGGCAGAGAUGCGAUGAAGCCCUGGCUUUGGCCUUCUUGGCAGCCAACCUCGAAGCACCACAUCGGGCUUUGAAAUGUGCGGGGCCUUUGAGAUUCAGCGCAUCUGAAUCUGAAUUUAUGCCGUCUCACUUGCUGGAAUCUACUGAUCUGUCCACUGUUCCUGGAAGAAAUACUUUGUUUUCAUGUGCCAGUUGCCUUUCCAGCCUGACUGUCAGCCCAAGGUCGCAGAGAAGAUCUGAUUGCAUGUCCUUGAUUUUGCUGCUCCCAUUCCGAGAACCAGCUUCCUCCUCUGGAAGGUCGACUGAGGGGGGCUUGACUGGACUUGGCUCAAGGCUGCAAGUGGUCCAGGUCUGCUCUGUGUGUCUUUCAUCCUCCCCAACCAGUUAGAAAACGUGAUAUCCUCUUCUACGAUGAUGAUGGAAAUACAAAAUUGGUGUUCAGGCACUUCAGGACCUCUCACCUCUGUGAAGGGACUUGGGAGACACCCAGAAAAUGGUGAGUUUAGUGAAAUAAACCCUAGCCUGGGAAGCAGGAGCAAACUGGAAAGGACUUAUUUAUAUGAGCAUUCCACAACCUCUGUCAGGUUGCUACUUCUCUGUGUGUCUCACUUGCUUCAUAUGUAAAAUGAAGGAGUUAAUUAGGGCAAAAAGCAACCUUGUUUCAUCUUACUUGACAACUCUCAUUAAUGGGUAGAGGUUUUCUAGAGUCUUGAAUCUGCAUUCCCGCUUAGUGAGAGAGAAUGCUGUGAUCGAUUACUCAUGUCUGUCCUGUGCAUAGAUGGGGGCAGGGGCAUCACCUCUGCCUGUGCUUUGCCAUCUCAGAGUUACGGCAUUAUCUAAGUAUUCUGAAGACCUGGGAUGCUUUAGAAUGGAUACAUGGGAGCUGGCUUCCAUAUAUAUCUCUGUUUCAUAAACUCUGGUGAUCUUUUGCCUCACUCCCACCCCACCCCCCUUUUAAAAAAUUUCUUUUUAUCCAUGAUGAUUCCAAACUCUUGGCUCUUGGUCUCUGUAAUAGCAAAGUAAUGGUUUUCUAUAGUAAUUUUCUUAUUCUCCCUUUCUUUCACCCUGUUGCCAAAGAUGAAUCUGUUUUUACUAAAAGAGAAAAAAGGGAAAAAAUACAUAUGUAAAAAUCACACAUCCUCACCAUGUGCAAAAAUCAUGUGUUUGGCAGCAAGAACAUCUUUCUGAGGCCAAAUGGCAUUUUUCUUUUCUUGCAAAACG
This 1781-nucleotide long non-coding RNA is filed under the name Sus scrofa (pig). RNAcentral's name for it is "lncRNA (ENSSSCG00000039704.3)". Lineage: Eukaryota; Metazoa; Chordata; Mammalia; Artiodactyla; Suidae. The record is from RNAcentral.